This 219-nucleotide ribosomal RNA is filed under the name uncultured bacterium. RNAcentral describes it as "partial 16S ribosomal RNA". It matches the Rfam family "Bacterial small subunit ribosomal RNA", at positions 1281 to 1500 of the family's 1533-position model. The record is from RNAcentral.
GACGGUCCCAGUUCGAAUUGAAGGCUGAAAUUCGCCUUCAUGAAGUCGGAAUUGCUAGUAAUGGCAGGUCAGCAUACUGCCGUGAAUACGUUCCCGGGCCUUGUACACACCGCCCGUCACACCAUGAGAGUUGGAGAUACCCGAAGCCUGUGAGCUAACUUUUAGAGGCAGCAGUCGAAGGUAGAAUCAAUGAUUGGGGUGAAGUCGUAACAAGGUAAC